AAGCGUUUAUCACCAGACUUUUUCUAGGGGGAUCAUCCGGUGUUCUCACCGGUGCACUUCCCCUAGUUGAGGCCAGCAUCGGUUUUCGGAGGGGGAUAAAAGCUUCGGGAAUGUGACUCCCUCGGGAGUGUUAUAGCCCGUUGCAUAAUACCCUUCUGGGGACCGAGGUUCGCGCAUCUGCAAGGAUGCUGGCAUAAUGGUGAUCAACGA
This 210-nucleotide ribosomal RNA is filed under the name Nigrospora sphaerica. RNAcentral describes it as "partial large subunit ribosomal RNA". Lineage: Eukaryota; Fungi; Ascomycota; Sordariomycetes; Amphisphaeriales; Apiosporaceae. The record is from RNAcentral.